RNA transcript from Schistocerca piceifrons (Central American locust), 6346 nucleotides. It is a transcript of the gene named nascent polypeptide-associated complex subunit alpha, muscle-specific form, with no coding region annotated. The record is from RefSeq and is a predicted model, not a curated record. The transcript has 12 exons. Lineage: Eukaryota; Metazoa; Arthropoda; Insecta; Orthoptera; Acrididae.
GGUGUAUCAACAAUAGAUGGCGACGAAAAUUUUGUCGGCCAUCUUUGUUACAGACAGUUUAUGAUUUCGGGACUUUUGGGAAAGGAAAUCCUUGAACUAAAAGUUUCCUGUUUUAACUGGAGAUUUUUUUCUGUUAGGAGCCGUCGGCGACCGAGUGGAGGGCAGUUUUCAACCAUCAGAUUCACCUUUUUAUCCUAGAGCACCGCAACAGCCUGUCUCAGCAGCAUACCCAACUCAUCCCCAGUUCGAUGCUAAUUAUGGAUAUUAUUCUGUGAACCAGGAAAGCCCAUCUCAGUUUGGAGACAGCUAUGCAGCAGCAGUAAAUCCAUACCAAGCAGCAGCUCCCCACCAUGGAAUGAGUUACAACAACCCACAGCAGUCCCUUUAUGGCUCGGCGCUGUCGCCUGCCGCCAGCGCUCAUUAUGGCUCCUCCAACCAUGGUGGGGCCCAAUAUCCAGGUGGUGGGGGCGGGGGUCAACAGUGGCCUGGUGGGCCACAGCAACAAUUGGGAAGUUCACCUACUCCAUCUCCUGCCCACACUCCCCCAGCUGCUACUGCACAGUACCACCAUCACCACCGACAAUGGCCAGCCCAAGGACCAGCGACUGGAGCCCAAGGCCCUCCUGGGUACUAUCCUCGAGGGGCUGGUCCAGGCCCUAUGCCACAACAUGCACAUGUUGGUGGUGCUUGGGCUAAAUCAGGUCAUGGUCAUGGCCAGCCUGGUGUGGGUGUUGGUGUAGGUGCUGCAGGUGCUACUGGACCCCUCUUCAGUUUACAGCUAUUGGUGAACCAAGAAAUGAACCGUGCUGCAUUAGCUUCAGCAGCUGCAGCUGGGGUUGGUGUUCCAGUCGCAGGGUCUCCAGGAGCUGGCGUUCCCCCAUCGCACCAGCACCAACAGCCAGUGCCCAGUGUUGUAGCAGAGGGAAGUGUUGAUUUAAGUGCUGACAGUUACCGCCGCCCUCUUCCUCUUACUCACAGACCACAGCAGUCACAAUUACAGCAGCAGCCCUUGCCACUUAACGGGGAGGUUAGCAAAGAUACGGUAAGUGUCAUUGCCCAGACGCCACGAAAGCUGACAAUGCCCUCUCAACUUACCCCAAUGUCACCCGCAACACUGGAACCAAGUCGGCCAUCACCAGAAAUUACUUCGGAUAGAGGAGGUGGUGCAGCUAUCAGUGGAGACAAACACGAACCUGCAGUAGCACCUGCGACGUCAAGUCCGUCAGUUCCCAGCGUUGUUAGUGGUUCUGCUGUAAUGGCACCUGUUGCAGCACCAGCACCAGCACCUGCUCCAGCACACACACCAACGCCACCACCUCCUCCAGAAUCCCCUGCCAGUCGUCACUCAGAUGAUGGCCACCAAUUGCCACCACCAGGAGUGCAGCAGCAACCACAACCGAGACCAUCACCUUCACCGUCACCAGCUCCUACAUCUUCCAAAGAUCUUGGGCCAGUCUCACCUGUGCGAUCUCCGAAGAGUGGCACAAUAAAACGCACGAAGAAAGUUGAUUCAAUCCUGGAAAACCUUGUUGAGAGUGGUACCAAGAAGGGGAGUGCUCAGAGCACUAGCUCAGGUUCCGAACAUUCUCCACAAACUCCUGUCAGCACGGUUGUUGUGGCUCCUGCGUCUGUAAUUGUCUCUCCAGCAGUCACAAGUGAAGAUAGCGGUGGUGGUCGUGAUGCUCAGUCCCCGUCACCCGGUGAUUCUGCUGUUCCACAGAGGCCUGCUAGUAGAGCACAUGAAGAUGGCACUACAUCACCUACAUUCAAUGGGAGCACAGAUGAAGACAAUGGCAAGCCAAGACGGAAACGGAAACUUGACAAACCUGUCAGAGUUGCAAAGACAUCCAGUGAUACAGAGAGUAAUAGUAACAGCUCAAAAGCACCAGGAUCAGAAGAUACUGUGACAGCUCCAGUUGACAUGCCUGAUAGUUCAGAGAAACUGAAAGAAGUUGUGAAAGUGGAGCCCCUGGUCACUGAAAGUGAAACUGUAACCAAAUUGACUGGGCUACUGUCUGAUAAUUCUGAAAGUGAUAUAAAGAGGGAAGAGGACAGUAAACCUGCAGAAAAAGAAGUGACAAAAGAAGCUGUUAACAAUAUUGUAGCUGCACCCUCGGAGAAUAAUGACUCUGUAGAAUCAUCUGUGAAAAGUGAAAGUGUUCCACAAAAGAAUGAUAAUGCAGAUGACCUCCUUUCCGUUCUCAACUCUGAUAGUGUGAAAUCUGAGCCAAAAUUAGAGCCAAAAAGUACUAUAAUUGAUGUUGAAACUGAACUUGAGAAAAUGUUUGCAGGAAUUGUAGAGGAAGAUAAUAUUUCUUCAGAUACUGUGAAGGCGGAAGUUCCAUCAUCAUCUGUUACAGAUUCUUCCACAAUGGCAGCAAAGGCAUUAGAAUGUUUAAGUGGUUCUGAAAAUACUUCUCCGUCUGUGACUGCAACUCCAGCUCCACCACCACCGCCACAAGAUACAAAACCACGAGUUUCAAAACGAGGCCGACCCAAGGGUUCACGAAAUAGUUCACAUCGUUCUUCCGAUAAUGUCCUAGGCCUCUCUUCAUCAGAGAAUACACCCAAGAAAAAGAAAAGGAAACAGGCAGGACGGGUUAGUGGGAUAAGUGAUGAAGGGCUGUCAUCACACAAGAAAAAGGUGAAGCGACCAAAACUUGAAGCGGGUGCAACUUGUGACAGCCCCAUACCUUUGGCAGCCGGAAGAAGACGGGGCCGUGAUGCAAGUGGUGUUGCGACUGACAGUGGUAGUAAUGCCAGCAGUGGGAGGUCACGAGGCCCUGUGGUUCAUCUAGAAGGACCCCGUGACAGUCCCUACAGUGUUACUGUAGUUAAUGGCCCAGCUCGUUUGGAUGAUGAUGAAGGCAAUGACAGGAAAACAUCAAUAGGUUCCAGUCGUCGCAAGAAUUCAUCCUACCAUAAUGAUCUUGAGUACAGGGGUAAAGGUGGUGGUGGGCUAUUCAGCAGCACAUUGUCGGCACGAUAUGAUGCGCACACAUCAGAUCCAACGUGGAUUUGUGUUUUUUGUAAGAGCGGCCCACAUUCGGCACUUGGUAGUGGUGAUCUCUUUGGUCCUUAUCUCGUAUCUCGACCAGAACGAGAGUUGCCUGCAUCAGCAGAUGAGAAAGAUAUAGUUGAGGAGCAGUCACGCGGUGGCAGUGGUACACGUGGCAAACGAAGUCUUCGCACUGCACACAUGGUUGAACAUUUCCAUCAAAAAAUGUCAAAGAAGGCAAAACGAUCACAUUCAGUUGAUGGAAGUGUUGCUGUAGCUGGAAUGACACCAGUUGGUAAGGAUGAUAGUUGCUACGAGGUGUGGACACAUGAAGAAUGUGCGGUAUGGGCAGCUGGUGUACAUUUAGUGGGUACACGUAUUGUUGGACUGCAGGAAGCUGUUUGGGGUGCUGUACGCACUACAUGUACCAAAUGUGGUGAGGGAGGUGCAAGCUUGGGUUGUGUACGUAGAGGCUGUGACCUGAGGGCUCAUUAUGGCUGUGCUCAGGACAUGAGUUGGUUAUUGGAAGAGGAAAAUUACGUUGCCAAGUGCACACAGCACAAGAUUACAAGCAAGGGGAGAUGAUUGCACUGGGAUGGAGGCAUGAGGAUGCAUGGUAUAAAAUAGAAACUCAUAUUUUAGUGAUGAUGGAAUUACGCAGAAUGAAAGACUGUUACUCAAGAUUUCUGAUUGUUUUUAAAGAUAUACCUGUUGCACUGUAAAUACUGAAAGUUUGUAAAAGCAGACUGAAAUCUGAAGAGUGUUGGUAAAAAGAGUAAUAAGGACUGUAAUUAUGGGUCUGAAGACUUAGUGAACAUAACAUGCAAUGGACACUAUGUGCUGAUCAUGAUGAACUGGUCAUUCUCACAAAGUUCCCUGUGAAAUUGUAAUUUUUAUGAGUGAAUGUUGUAUGAUACCCAACUUUAUUUUCAUUUCAUUAAUAUUUUCCUCAUAUCCUGCAGAAGAUGAAGAGAAACGGCUACAAGAACAACUUGUAGAUAUAAGUACCACGUUAAGUGGUGUGUAGCAGACCAAUAUGGCAGCUUUUGCCUUAGCAGAUUUUUGAUUACCAAACAGCUAACGGAUGUACAGUAUACACUGUAGUACUUGAAAGUGACCUAAGAUUGAAAUUCUGCAAUAGUGUGACAAACUAAAAACUACCAGUUGGUAGUAACAUGAGUCAUUUAAGAAGUUCAUGAUAACUGUGCACCCGAGUUCAAGGUAAAGUACAUACAAAAGUUGAAAGACUGAUACGUAUUUCUAACCUUGGGUUCCUGCAUUGUCUUGUACCACAUUGACAGUUACUGUAGAACUGUAACUCGUUGUUAGAAACUACAACAGGAACCUGUAAAUCAUAAAAGUUUUCAUAGGGAUUGCACUGAGGAAGCAGUAUGGUAGAAACAAAUCGGAAGGGGCUAUUAGCAAAUAAAUUGUAGAAGAAGAAAAAUAAUAAAUAACUUCUUUGAGGAUGGGAGUAAUUAUCACAGUACUAAUCCAACAACUUCAUGAUCCGAUCUGUUAUGUUACGUUAUUUCCUGCCCCUUUUUCCUCAUUCAUGUAUUUAAUGUUACAGUCACCUCUGGCAUUAUUUUGUGUCAUCCAGGGUAGCUUUAAGUACACUAGAACUGACCUAGGGGUCUAAAUUUGACCACUGUGUACACUUUCUAAAUUCACAUGUUUAUGACAACACAAUUACCUACUAGUUGUCACUGCUAACUGAUGAGAUCUCCCUUUUGACUUUGCAAGGCAGCUAUGAAGAUAAAAUAUUUUUCCCAUGUUACUGAAACGUGUUGUAAGUUGAAAUAAUAUUCCGGCACAGAGUCGAGUAGAAGUGACAAGGCAGAACAGAUGCACUGGUUAUGGUGCAAUUUUGGUCUGUCGCAAAAACCAUUGUUUUCUUGCUGCGAUUUGUAUUCUUGUGUUGUCAUUCUUCCGUGUUGUGCAGCAGAUGACAGUCGUGUCUUCUAAAUAUCCAGAUUUUGCUAAAGUGGUUGAAGAUAUAAAGUCAAAUGCGUUAUCGGUUACAAAUGCUGCAAAGAAGUAUAGAAUUCCACGAACUACUGUAGGAGACCAUGAAAGGGGAAGGCAUGGAGUAAAUAUGCUGUGUUUAAUGUGGAGAAAGGAAAAAUCAUUUUAGAACAUUUGGUUUCUGUUUCAAGGUACAGAUUUCCAUUUUUGAAAUUCGACCUUCAGGAAUUACCAAAAUAUUAUUUUAUGUCUGGGAAUUAGUUAAAUACUUUCUAUUACAUUCAUGAACAUGAACACAUGUAAUAUAUGUCAUUAACAAGUGUGUUAAGUCCAAAUUUUCCAAUACUAAAAUUCCUUGCAAAGAAAUUAAAAAGUAAAUUAAUUAAUCCAGUAAGGAUGCCAAUAUCAGCCAGAAUGUGUGUGAAUGUUCAUUUACAUGUACUCCUAACAUGGACUUCAAGUUAACACCAAGUACUGGUUUGAAUCUGCUGGUGCUUAAAAUGUGUUUUCCUCAGUGACCAUGGAUGUUAAUACAGGGAAAAUACAGGAAACAAUCCCUUAGUUGUGAGCUAUAAGAUACUGUUUUCCAUGAAAAUGCAAAUCACUUUGUCUGUGAAGUAGUGUAAAAAAUAAGAGAGAUAAGUGUCGAAUCUGGGUGAGUUUAUUGUACUGCAGAAGGAAUAAAUUAGAAUGAUAAAAAAAAGGAAAUGUGUGAAAAAUAUAAGAAUGGAGAGGAAUCAUAUGAACUGAACUCUCUCUCUCUCUCUCUCUCUCUCUCUCUCUCUCUCUUUUUCAGUUCUUUAUAAUCUGUAUGUGUUCCGAAAGCGGAGAGCAGUGACAAACAUGAUGUCAAAAAGGUUUGUUCUCAAUGUGUAUAUCUGUACCAGAAUAAUUAAAGAUUUUAUUAUUAUUGUUGUUUUUGUUAUCGUCACAUAAGUUUAACAAUUUCAUUCACUAUCAUAAGUAUAUAACCAGGAUUUAAAAGAGGUAAAUGUAACACUUAAGAGUACAUUUGUACAGAUGGAAGCAAUUUUCGCAUGCUUGCCUUUACAGUGUGUUAGUUGUACACAUGAUUUUAUCAGAAGAUUCUUGUUUAACUUUUUCUUCCGUGUACUAUGUCAAUAAUUUCCAGUGGUUUAAUUAUUGGUAGAAUAAGAAAAUUUAGAUCUCUCUGUACACUUAAUAACUUAGAAAACUGUUAACUUCACCCAGUACGCAGUGUGUUUAAAGGGUUGUAUCUGUUUCAGUAGAAGGAAUAUCUGGGUAAUUUACAAUAUUUACACAGGACUAGUGUAAUCCAUAGGAAGUAUGUAAGAAUUGUACUCCAUGGGGUAUAGUGUGUGUUUGCUUAAGGAUAAGACUUGGGAAUACAAAAUAGUG